RNAcentral lists this ribosomal RNA (253 nucleotides) under uncultured bacterium. Its description in RNAcentral is "partial 16S ribosomal RNA". It matches the Rfam family "Bacterial small subunit ribosomal RNA", at positions 524 to 776 of the family's 1533-position model. The record is from RNAcentral.
UACGGAGUGUGCAAGCGUUACUCGGAAUCACUGGGCAUAAAGGGCGCGUAGGCGGGCUUUCAAGUCGGUUGUGAAAUCCCUCAGCUCAACUGAGGAACUGCAUCCGAUACUGCUUGUCUUGAGGACGAGAGGGGAGAGUGGAACUUCUGGUGGAGCGGUGAAAUGCGUAGAUAUCAGAAGGAACGCCGGUGGCGAAAGCGGUUACCUGGAGCUUUGCUGACGCUGAUGCGCGAAAGCGUGGGGAGCGAUCCGG